GUAUUUUAAUUUUUGUCGGAAGCCGCCAACGUGGCUGGGGAAACCCAGCCAGAUGGGCGGGGUACAAAUAAAUUAUUAUUAUUAUUAUUAUUAUUAUUAUUAUUAUUACUACAACAACAAUUUUAUUAUUUAUACCCUGCCCAUCUGGCUAGGUUCCCCCAGCCACUCUGGGUGGUUCCCAACAGAGGACUAAAAACAGAAUA
Podarcis lilfordi (Lilford's wall lizard) is the source of this 203-nucleotide non-coding RNA. NCBI's taxonomy places the organism in Eukaryota, Metazoa, Chordata, Lepidosauria, Squamata, Lacertidae. The record is from the annotation of a GenBank genome assembly.